GACGAACCGUGCGAACGUUAUUCGGAAUCACUGGGCUUAAAGCGCGUGUAGGCGGGCCGGCACGUCGGUCGCUGAAAUCCCCCGGCUCAACCGGGGAAGGGGCGCCGAUACGACCGGCCUGGAGGGGCGUAGGGGGACCUGGAACUUCCGGUGGAGCGGUGAAAUGCGUUGAGAUCGGAAGGAACGCCCGUGGCGAAAGCGGCUUACUGGGUCUCUUCUGACGCUGAGGUACGAAAGCCAGGGGAGCGAAGGGG
Molecule: ribosomal RNA, 254 nt
Filed under: uncultured bacterium
Lineage: Bacteria
Description: partial 16S ribosomal RNA
Rfam family: Bacterial small subunit ribosomal RNA
Source: RNAcentral